AUGAAUUUGAACAACAAUGGCCGAGAGCAGCAGAAGUGCUUAGUGGCAUUGACUUGGACUCAAGAAUCAGGAUGCUUGAUGACACAAACAAAUUAUCCAAGGCGUCCAGAUUGCACGACUCUAUUUGGAGUGAAUGCUGAAGCUUUUAUCAACAAAGCCUCAUUUUUGGUCACAAACAGCAACCAGGAAGUUCUGAACUUACAAUACAAGGUCUGCUAUGUGAGAAUUUUAGACCUAAAGCGUAAAUUCUUGGAAGCUGCACUUCGAUACUACAAUAUCUCUCGAAUUGAGCAACGCCAAAUUGGGGAUGAGUAA
This 315-nucleotide ribosomal RNA is filed under the name Triticum aestivum (bread wheat). RNAcentral describes it as "partial small subunit ribosomal RNA". Lineage: Eukaryota; Viridiplantae; Streptophyta; Magnoliopsida; Poales; Poaceae. The record is from RNAcentral.